This is a long non-coding RNA of Coregonus clupeaformis (lake whitefish), 692 nucleotides long. RefSeq lists it as uncharacterized. The transcript has 3 exons. The record is from RefSeq and is a predicted model, not a curated record. NCBI's taxonomy places the organism in Eukaryota, Metazoa, Chordata, Actinopteri, Salmoniformes, Salmonidae.
UCCACUUUUUAUAAUGUGGCCUUGGUCUGAGUUUUACUGCUAUAAAUAAGUUACAUCAGGAUGCAUUUGAACCUAUUUCUAUACCUAACAUGUUAUAUUCAGGCGUGAGCAAUGUAAUGUGACCCAAUGGAAAACUGUGACUGUGCCACAUUAGCUUCUUUCCUGACAGCUAGCUUGAAGAUGACAUAAACACUUUCAACCUAGCCUGACAUGUGACGGUUUCUAUGGUAACACAAUCACGCACAAACACGCACACAGGCAAGACGGAAUUCCUUCACUGAAGUUGCAAGGCCGUGGCAAAAUGGAUAGGAUCCUUAGGAUAUCCACAUUAUACAGCCUGUUUCACUGAGAACCUCAUUACACAUAAAAAAGCUGAUUUAUGUAAAUUGCCGCGAUCUGCCAAGAUUAGGAAUCACAGACUUUGAGGAUAUGAAGGCCAUCUCUGCCCAUGUGCGUGAGCUGCUGGGGAUUUCAGAGCCGCUGUGGAGCUGCAGCAUCGCAGACCACCGCCACCACCCCAGAGACAGCAUGGGCCUGUCCCUAGAUAAGAAUAGCAGGACAGGGGACUGGGCUGACUCCUUCACCUACAAACAGCUCCUCAACGACAGGAAACAGUUAAUGGAAUUUUGCGUGUGAUAAAAUGCUAAAUGACUAAAAUGUAAAAUGUAAAAUAAAAUGAACAUGUGAAUGGA